AAGCAAGCCCAAAACAAACUUGUUAGUAUCCAUAAAAUGAAGCCCUACAUUCAUGGAUUGCUGUCAACUAUCUGGCAAUGCAUGAUGACAUGAAACCUUAGGCCUUACUAUUCAAUAGCCCACAACCUAAAUUAACUUAUAGCUUUAAAAUAAAUGGACAUUGAUUUGAGUAGCUAUAGAAAGCUCCCAAUUCUUGCUUGAUAAUGUUGUAAACUUGCAGCCCUUUAUUUGUUUUCAGGUGGUUGUUGACAAUGGGAAAUCUGAACGAAUAACUGUGGUUGACAAUUCUGCAUCAUUGUCAUCACAGCAUGCAAUUACAGAGUACCGAGUGAUUGCAUCAUCAUCACAAGGUUACACAUGGUUGGAGCUGUCCCCUUUAACUGGUAGAAAACACCAGCUUCGAGUGCACUGUGCCGAGGUGUUAGGUACACCAAUAGUUGGGGACUACAAGUAUGGAUGGCAAGCUCACAGGAAGUGGGGAGGUUUUGAUUUGUCAAAUGUGGAGGACUCAUGUGAAGAGCUUCUCAAGGAAGAAACACUCCCCUUUGGCCUUAAUUUGAACAAUGGGAGCAUAUCUGAGAACCAUCCUCGUUUACAUCUUCAUUGCAAGCAAAUAGUCUUACCCAAUAUAUCUCAAGCACUGCAAAAUGUGCAAUCAUUUUCCAAUUGUGAUCUUUCACAAGUGGAAGGGCUUGAAUUGGUCGCGGAUUUGCCUCCAUACAUGCAAAGAAGUUGGGAUGUCACAAAUUGUUGAAUUAACGGUCUAUCUAUCUCAGCCUUUCUAAAUUAUAGUUCACUCGAUUUUGACAACGCAAAUUCUUCCGCUCGGGUUUCCUCAGAAUUCACCAGAUGUUGGUUUGAGCUUGUUGUCACAUCAUUUAGAAUUGCAUUUUUCCUAACCAUAAAGCAUUGCCGACUCUAUGUCAUGCUACUCUACAUGGCAGUGUCAUUUAAUUAAAUUCAGGUCAGUUGAUUCACAUGAAUUUAAACCAGUGAAAGAGAGAAUCAUCUGCCGCUUUGUAACAGUUCCUUCAAUCUUUAUUUGUCCUCAUAGCCACAUUAUGAUAA
This is a non-coding RNA of Vigna umbellata (rice bean), 1068 nucleotides long. The record is from RefSeq and is a predicted model, not a curated record. NCBI's taxonomy places the organism in Eukaryota, Viridiplantae, Streptophyta, Magnoliopsida, Fabales, Fabaceae.